RNAcentral lists this long non-coding RNA (317 nucleotides) under Arachis ipaensis. RNAcentral describes it as "long non-coding RNA (AIPA_LNC000721)". The record is from RNAcentral. Lineage: Eukaryota; Viridiplantae; Streptophyta; Magnoliopsida; Fabales; Fabaceae.
CAUGCAAUAAGGCAAUUAACUACUUGUCCUUUAAAUUUAAUUUGAACAACACAAAAUAAGUAGUAGUACAGUAUAUCUUUGGAUUCCAUGCAUGCAUGCAUGCAUGCAUGUAUGUAUUGUAUGUAUUGUAUGUAGAUGGUAAUAAUAAAUGGUCUGCGCCGAUAAGUCAAAAACAUUGGGACAUAGCUUUCCUGUUGAGCUUUGCUUGCCUCGACAUUUGAGAGUUUAGAGUGGAGACACUGCCUCAGCUUUUUCAAAUGAACCAACACCGUUUCCUUUGCCCAUUAUGUAUCUUAAUGCAUACAUGCUAUAGUACU